ACUAUUUUGACAGAAAACAUGUGAUGGUUUUAGAAGUCAUUUAUGUAUAUUUAUUAUACAGAUAGUA
Molecule: transfer RNA, 67 nt
Filed under: Stomphastis thraustica
Lineage: Eukaryota; Metazoa; Arthropoda; Insecta; Lepidoptera; Gracillariidae
Also listed under: 1 other name
Description: tRNA-Leu
Source: RNAcentral